This 1724-nucleotide ribosomal RNA is filed under the name Proteus mirabilis. RNAcentral's name for it is "partial 23S ribosomal RNA". It matches the Rfam family "Bacterial large subunit ribosomal RNA", at positions 1223 to 2925 of the family's 2925-position model. The record is from RNAcentral. Lineage: Bacteria; Pseudomonadati; Pseudomonadota; Gammaproteobacteria; Enterobacterales; Morganellaceae.
GUUGGGUAGGGGAGCGUUCUGUAAGCCUGCGAAGGUGUACUGUGAGGUAUGCUGGAGGUAUCAGAAGUGCGAAUGCUGACAUAAGUAACGAUAAUGCGGGUGAAAAACCCGCACGCCGGAAGACCAAGGGUUCCUGUCCAACGUUAAUCGGGGCAGGGUGAGUCGACCCCUAAGGCGAGGCUGAAAAGCGUAGUCGAUGGGAAACGGGUUAAUAUUCCCGUACUGGUGGUAACUGCGAUGGGGGAACGGAGAAGGCUAGGUUGUCCGGGCGACGGUCGUCCCGGUUCAAGCAGGUAGGCAGAGUGAUUAGGCAAAUCCGGUCACUUAAUGCUGAGAUGUGAUGACGAACCACUAAGGUGGUGAAGCAAUUGAUGCCCCGCUUCCAGGAAAAGCCUCUAAGCUUCAGGUUACCAACAAUCGUACCCCAAACCGACACAGGUGGUCAGGUAGAGAAUACUCAGGCGCUUGAGAGAACUCGGGUGAAGGAACUAGGCAAAAUGGUGCCGUAACUUCGGGAGAAGGCACGCUGGCGGUAGGUAAAGUCCCUCGCGGACGGCGCUGAAGCCAGUCGAAGAUACCAGCUGGCUGCAACUGUUUAUUAAAAACACAGCACUGUGCAAACACGAAAGUGGACGUAUACGGUGUGACGCCUGCCCGGUGCUGGAAGGUUAAUUGAUGGGGUCAGCCGCAAGGCGAAGCUCCUGAUCGAAGCCCCAGUAAACGGCGGCCGUAACUAUAACGGUCCUAAGGUAGCGAAAUUCCUUGUCGGGUAAGUUCCGACCUGCACGAAUGGCGUAAUGAUGGCCAGGCUGUCUCCACCCGAGACUCAGUGAAAUUGAACUCGCUGUGAAGAUGCAGUGUACCCGCGGCAAGACGGAAAGACCCCGUGAACCUUUACUAUAGCUUGACACUGAACAUUGAGCCUUGAUGUGUAGGAUAGGUGGGAGGCUUUGAAGUGUGGACGCCAGUCUGCAUGGAGCCAACCUUGAAAUACCACCCUUUAACGUUUGAUGUUCUAACCUAGGCCCAUAAACUGGGUCGGGGACCGUGUCUGGUGGGUAGUUUGACUGGGGCGGUCUCCUCCUAAAGAGUAACGGAGGAGCACGAAGGUUGGCUAAGCAUGGUCGGACAUCAUGCGGUUAGUGCAAAGGCAUAAGCCAGCUUGACUGCGAGAGUGACGGCUCGAGCAGGUACGAAAGUAGGUCUUAGUGAUCCGGUGGUUCUGAAUGGAAGGGCCAUCGCUCAACGGAUAAAAGGUACUCCGGGGAUAACAGGCUGAUACCGCCCAAGAGUUCAUAUCGACGGCGGUGUUUGGCACCUCGAUGUCGGCUCAUCACAUCCUGGGGCUGAAGUAGGUCCCAAGGGUAUGGCUGUUCGCCAUUUAAAGUGGUACGCGAGCUGGGUUUAGAACGUCGUGAGACAGUUCGGUCCCUAUCUGCCGUGGGCGUUGGAAGAUUGAGAGGGGUUGCUCCUAGUACGAGAGGACCGGAGUGAACGCACCACUGGUGUUCGGGUUGUCAUGCCAAUGGCAUUGCCCGGUAGCUAAGUGCGGAAGAGAUAACCGCUGAAAGCAUCUAAGCGGGAAACUUGCCUCGAGAUGAGUCUUCCCUGUCGCUUUAAGCGACCUAAAGGAACGUUUAAGACUAAGACGUUGAUAGGCUGGGUGUGUAAGCGUAGCGAUACGUUGAGCUAACCAGUACUAAUGAACCGUGAGGCUUAACCUG